CACAUGCAAGUCGAACGGAAAGGCCCUUUCGGGGGUGCUCGAGUGGCGAACGGGUGAGUAACACGUGGGUGAUCUGCCCUGCACUUUGGGAUAAGCCUGGGAAACUGGGUCUAAUACCGAAUACACCCUGCUGGCCGCAUGGUCUGGUGGGGGAAAGCUUUUGCGGUGUGGGAUGGGCCCGCGGCCUAUCAGCUUGUUGGUGGGGUGAUGGCCUACCAAGGCGACGACGGGUAGCCGGCCUGAGAGGGUGUCCGGCCACACUGGGACUGAGAUACGGCCCAGACUCCUACGGGAGGCAGCAGUGGGGAAUAUUGCACAAUGGGCGCAAGCCUGAUGCAGCGACGCCGCGUGGGGGAUGACGGCCUUCGGGUUGUAAACCUCUUUCAGUACCGACGAAGCGCAAGUGACGGUAGGUACAGAAGAAGCACCGGCCAACUACGUGCCAGCAGCCGCGGUAAUACGUAGGGUGCGAGCGUUGUCCGGAAUUACUGGGCGUAAAGAGCUCGUAGGUGGUUUGUCGCGUUGUCCGUGAAAACUCACAGCUUAACUGUGGGCGUGCGGGCGAUACGGGCAGACUGGAGUACUGCAGGGGAGACUGGAAUUCCUGGUGUAGCGGUGGAAUGCGCAGAUAUCAGGAGGAACACCGGUGGCGAAGGCGGGUCUCUGGGCAGUAACUGACGCUGAGGAGCGAAAGCGUGGGGAGCGAACAGGAUUAGAUACCCUGGUAGUCCACGCCGUAAACGGUGGGUACUAGGUGUGGGUUUCCUUCCUUGGGAUCCGUGCCGUAGCUAACGCAUUAAGUACCCCGCCUGGGGAGUACGGCCGCAAGGCUAAAACUCAAAGGAAUUGACGGGGGCCCGCACAAGCGGCGGAGCAUGUGGAUUAAUUCGAUGCAACGCGAAGAACCUUACCUGGGUUUGACAUGCACAGGACGCCGGCAGAGAUGUCGGUUCCCUUGUGGCCUGUGUGCAGGUGGUGCAUGGCUGUCGUCAGCUCGUGUCGUGAGAUGUUGGGUUAAGUCCCGCAACGAGCGCAACCCUUGUCUCAUGUUGCCAGCACGUGAUGGUGGGGACUCGUGAGAGACUGCCGGGGUCAACUCGGAGGAAGGUGGGGAUGACGUCAAGUCAUCAUGCCCCUUAUGUCCAGGGCUUCACACAUGCUACAAUGGCCGGUACAAAGGGCUGCGAUGCCGUGAGGUGGAGCGAAUCCUUUCAAAGCCGGUCUCAGUUCGGAUCGGGGUCUGCAACUCGACCCCGUGAAGUCGGAGUCGCUAGUAAUCGCAGAUCAGCAACGCUGCGGUGAAUACGUUCCCGGGCCUUGUACACACCGCCCGUCACGUCAUGAAAGUCGGUAACACCCGAAGCCGGUGGCCUAACCCUUGUGGAGGGAGCCGUCGAAGGUGGGAU
RNAcentral lists this ribosomal RNA (1406 nucleotides) under Mycolicibacterium sp. RNAcentral's name for it is "bacterial SSU rRNA". It matches the Rfam family "Bacterial small subunit ribosomal RNA". Lineage: Bacteria; Bacillati; Actinomycetota; Actinomycetes; Mycobacteriales; Mycobacteriaceae. The record is from RNAcentral.